CAAGAGAAAAGCUGUCUUUAUAUUAAAGUUUGAAUUUAACUUUUAAGUGAAAAGGCUUAAAUAUUCUAAAGGGACGAUAAGACCCUAUAAAACUUUACAUUAAUUGUUAAUAUUUUAUUUAAUUUUGUUUAUUACAAAUUUAAAUUUAAUUUUUUGUUAUGUUGGGGAGACAAAAGCUAUAAUUUAUAUUAACUGCUUGAAGAAAAAUCAAUAAAAUUUAUCUGACUUAUAUUUAUAGAUCCUUUAUAAAGAUUGAAAGAUUAAGUUACUUUAAGGAUAACAGCGUUUUUUUUUUUGAGAGUUCAUAU
RNAcentral lists this ribosomal RNA (308 nucleotides) under Potamonautidae sp. Crab_12_Muranga-Gikige1. RNAcentral describes it as "partial 16S ribosomal RNA". The record is from RNAcentral. Lineage: Eukaryota; Metazoa; Arthropoda; Malacostraca; Decapoda; Potamonautidae.